UCCUUUUUUUUUUUUAAAUUAUAUUACUGUAUUAGUUUAGCUUAUGUAGACAACAAAUUGCAGGAUGAUGUUCAAGCGGGGAUCAAGGAAAUACAAAGAGCUCGCAUUAAGGUACGCUUUGUUACGCAUGACAAUCCUCAAACUGCAAAAGCAAUUGCUAUGGAAUGUGGCAUACUUGCUUCUGAUAGGUCAGAUGCUAGUGAGGUAAUUUUUGAAGGAGAAGCGUUCCGACAACUUUCUGAUAGUCAGAGAGAAGAUUUAGCAGAGAAGAUUUUGGUAAUGCGACUGUCUACCCCCGAUGACAAACUUUUGCUUGUGCAAGCACUGCGGAAAAGAGAAAAGGUUGUUGCUGUCACUGGAUCUGUCAUUAGUGAUGCUGGUGCACUACAAGAGGCCGACAUUGGUCUUGCAAUAGGUGAACAAGCGACUGAAGUUGUUAAAGAGAGUUCAGAUAUCAUAAUCUUGGAUGGCAAUUUCGCUACUGUAGCCAAGGGUUUCAAAUGGGGACGAUCUAUGCAUGAAAAGGUUCUGAGAGUUAUGCAACAGCAACUUACAGCCAAUAUUGUAGCAGUAACUAUAAACUGCUUGGCGGCAGUUUACUAUGGUCACAUUCCUCUCAAUGCUGUGCAGUUUGUGUGGGUGAAUGUUAUCAUAUUUGGUCUUGGACCACUAGUAUUGGCUACUGAAUAUCCGGCUGAACGCCUGAUGGACGAACCCCCUAUUGACCGAGGACAACCUCUUAUAAAAUAUAUUCGGUGGAAGAGACUGUUGAUACAGGUUCUGUACCAAAUUAUUGCCCUGCUUGUCAUCAAUUUUCAAGGAGGGAGUUUACUGAAAAAUUAUACCAGAGACCACGCCACCAAAGUGAAAAAUACAAUGAUAUUCAACACAUUUGUUAUAUGUCAGAUUUCCAUUGAAUUUGGAGUUCGAAAGACUGGUAUACUGGACCAUCCUUUGAAAUGGAUUACUGCUAACUCCGUGUUUCUGGGAAUAGUGGGAAUAAUUCUUGUGAUUCAGUUUAUCAUCAUUGAGUUUCUUGGGAAGGCGUUUUUCAUAGUCAGGCUUGACUGGAAAGAGUGGCAGUUUUCCCUCACCCUUGGUAUUGUCGAGUUGUUUUUUGCACUGCUUCUAUUCGUAAAGCACUUGACACAAAGGAAUCAUCAUUAAGAUUCGAUAUCGGUGAUGUACUGAUGUUCAACCUGAUGAUGUUCAUGAAAAUCUUGUGCAAUCUGAUGUGUUCAACCUGCCAGACGUUCAUUGCUGAACUCGUUUACCCUCGCACCUUCUCUUCAUCUUCCUCAUUUUAUGACUUGGUUCCUUGGGUGUAUUUUCGUUAUUGAUACAGACUACAUGUUGAAUAACCAUUCAUUAUCAAUUGGACUUGAAUAGCA
RNA transcript from Rosa chinensis, 1391 nucleotides. It is a transcript of the gene named calcium-transporting ATPase 5, plasma membrane-type, with no coding region annotated. Lineage: Eukaryota; Viridiplantae; Streptophyta; Magnoliopsida; Rosales; Rosaceae. The record is from RefSeq and is a predicted model, not a curated record. The transcript has 12 exons.